UGAAUUGUCUUCUAAUGUAAGAUAUCGUUAUCACGAUGAUGGAGGUUCGAAUCCUCCCAAUUCUA
RNAcentral lists this transfer RNA (65 nucleotides) under Flavobacterium aquicola. RNAcentral's name for it is "tRNA-Ile". It matches the Rfam family "tRNA". Rfam says of the family: Transfer RNA (tRNA) molecules are approximately 80 nucleotides in length. Their secondary structure includes four short double-helical elements and three loops (D, anti-codon, and T loops). The record is from RNAcentral. Lineage: Bacteria; Pseudomonadati; Bacteroidota; Flavobacteriia; Flavobacteriales; Flavobacteriaceae.